UGAUAAAGAGAGGAGUUAAACCCCUAUAAAUAGAACUACAGUCUACUACC
RNAcentral lists this transfer RNA (50 nucleotides) under Anolis griseus. Its description in RNAcentral is "partial tRNA-Tyr". Lineage: Eukaryota; Metazoa; Chordata; Lepidosauria; Squamata; Anolidae. The record is from RNAcentral.